UGUUGAAACACCUGUUCUCCAAUCCCUGAAGUUAAGCAACAUCAAACCUGGUCAGUACUUAGAUGGGUGACCUCUUGGGAAUACCAAGUCCUGUAAG
Non-coding RNA from Acanthosepion pharaonis, 97 nucleotides. The record is from the annotation of a GenBank genome assembly. Lineage: Eukaryota; Metazoa; Mollusca; Cephalopoda; Sepiida; Sepiidae.